UGAGUCUUUUGGUUGGGAGCAAAGACGUAAAUAUAUUGCGGACAGAGUAAAGAAGACACAAAAAAUAAGAACACGAGUGAAUAGCAGCUUCGAAGAAGAUAGACGGAAAUAUUCUUAUAAUUACCAUUUGCAGAUUCUUCAGCACACGAGUACAGGUUUAUUUCCACAAGUCGAGCUCAGCUUCUUAUGUUAAACAAUUACACAUUUUCGGAAAGAGGAAAGAAAUCUGGAAGGUUUCAUUGUUCCAAAAAAGAUGCUGGUUGCAAGGCAAACUUGAAAUUGGAUCAAUAUGGGAACAUUAAACGGAUAGCUAACAUUCACAACCACGACCCACCAAAAUUCAUUGUAUCUCAAAAUGGGCAUUAUAUUCCAGUAUAAUAACCAUAGUUAUAGGAUUUGUGUUCAUAUUUAUGUAAAGGAGUAGUUCCAGUAGGUACAUACCUACUUCCCGCUUAUUUAAUACAAUCAACAAAAAAAAACAAUUUUUAAUCUUGAGAUACCGCUGCCGCUGGAAGGACGAAGUCGCCAAAGACCUGAAAGAGCUGGAAGUGUCCGACUGGUCAGAAUUGGCACAGAAUAGAGAAGAUGGGCGCACUUUAAUGUCGGAGGCCAAGAUCCACUUCGGGUCGCUGAGCCAGCGGAGUAAGUAAGUAAGUUUAAUCUUGCAGAUCACCCAGAGUAUAAGUUUAUUUGUACUACCCAAUCUCGCCUUCUUAUAAUGAAUGGUUAUAGUUUUUCGUUACGAAAUAAAAAUAAGAGAAAAUUCUUUUGUUCCAAGAAAAGUAACGGAUGCAAGGCAAAUGUGGCGCUCUACAAACUAGGGAACACUAGACGGUUUACUGACACUCAUAAUCAUGAUCCACCUAAAUUCAUUUUAACUAACGACGGGAACUAUGUACGUGUUUAAUAAUUAUGUACUGUUAUAAAUGUCUAUGCCAAUAAAUGCUUUCGUUUUAAC
Plutella xylostella (diamondback moth) is the source of this 958-nucleotide long non-coding RNA. RefSeq lists it as uncharacterized. Lineage: Eukaryota; Metazoa; Arthropoda; Insecta; Lepidoptera; Plutellidae. The record is from RefSeq and is a predicted model, not a curated record.